This 797-nucleotide ribosomal RNA is filed under the name marine sediment metagenome. RNAcentral describes it as "bacterial SSU rRNA". It matches the Rfam family "Bacterial small subunit ribosomal RNA", at positions 729 to 1520 of the family's 1533-position model. The record is from RNAcentral.
CUGGGCCUUGUUUGACGCUGAGGCACGAAAGCGUGGGUAGCGAAUGGGAUUAGAUACCCCAGUAGUCCACGCCGUAAACGAUGCAUACUCGGCAUAUGGAGUAUCGACCCUCUGUGUGUCCAAGCUAACGCGUUAAGUAUGCCGCCUGGGAAGUACGAGCGCAAGCUUAAAACUCAAAGGAAUAGACGGGGAUCCGCACAAGCGGUGGAGCAUGUGGUUUAAUUCGACAUUAAGCGAGGAACCUCACCAGGGCUAGAAAUUCAGCUGCAUAUCUUUGGAAACAUUGAUAGCCUUCGAGGGUGCUGAACAGGUGUUGCAUGGUUGUCGUCAGCUCGUGCCGUAAGGUGUUCCAUUAAGUUGGGUAACGAGCGCAACCCCUACUGCGUGUUACAAGUGUCACGCGGAACUGCCCCGCACUGAGCACAUUUCAGUUGAAGUGUCCUUUGUGUGGGGAGGAAGGUGGGGAUGACGUCAAAUCAGCAUGGCCCUAGACGCCCUGGGCGACACACGUGCUACAAUGGCCGGUACAACGGGUUGCCAAACCGCAAGGUGGAGCUAAUCCCUUAAAGCCGGUCCAAGUUCGGAUUGAGGUCUGCAACUCGACCUCAUGAAGUUGGAAUCGCUAGUAAUCCCGCAUCAGCCACGGCGGGGUGAAUACGUUCCCGGAUCUUGUACUCACCGCCCGUCACACCAAGGGAGCCGGGAGUACCCGAAGGCCCUCUUUCGAGGGGGACCACGGUAAGCUCGGUAACAAGGGUGAAGUCGUAACAAGGCAUCCGUAGCGGAAGCUGUGGAUG